UACGGAGGGUGCGAGCGUUGAUCGGAAUUACUGGGCGUAAAGCGCGCGUAGGCGGUUUGUUAAGUCGGAUGUGAAAGCCCCGGGCUCAACCUGGGAACUGCACCCGAUACUGGCCGACUUGAGUGCGAGAGAGGGAGGUAGAAUUCCAUGUGUAGCGGUGAAAUGCGUAGAUAUAUGGAGGAAUACCGGUGGCGAAGGCGGCCUCCUGGCUCGACACUGACGCUGAGGUGCGAAAGCGUGGGUAGCAGACAGG
This 253-nucleotide ribosomal RNA is filed under the name uncultured bacterium. Its description in RNAcentral is "partial 16S ribosomal RNA". It matches the Rfam family "Bacterial small subunit ribosomal RNA", at positions 524 to 776 of the family's 1533-position model. The record is from RNAcentral.